GACGUAGGAGGCGAGCGUUAUCCGGAUUUACUGGGUGUAAAGCGCAUGCAGGCGGAUCGGUAAGUUCGGUGUGAAAGCUCCUGGCUCAACUGGGAGAGGUCGCUGAAGACUGCCGGACUGGAGCGUGGUAGGGGAAGGCGGAAUUCCGGGUGUAGUGGUGAAAUGCGUAGAUAUCCGGAGGAACACCAGUGGCGAAGGCGGCCUUCUGGACCACGACUGACGCUCAGAUGCGAAAGCUAGGGGAGCAAACGGG
Molecule: ribosomal RNA, 253 nt
Filed under: uncultured bacterium
Lineage: Bacteria
Description: partial 16S ribosomal RNA
Rfam family: Bacterial small subunit ribosomal RNA
Source: RNAcentral